CUCCUACUUCCUCCGUCCAAUAGAGGAUGUUUCAAAUUUGACUAAAUUUGAAUGCAUCUAUACACUAAGUUAUGUCUAAAUACAUCUAAAUUUUGACAAACUUGAGACAUCCUUUGUUGAACAGAAGGAGUAAUUU
Non-coding RNA from Brachypodium distachyon (stiff brome), 136 nucleotides. The record is from Rfam. NCBI's taxonomy places the organism in Eukaryota, Viridiplantae, Streptophyta, Magnoliopsida, Poales, Poaceae.